GAUUCCGAGAGAGACCGCGGGGACCGCGGCGCCGAAGGGGAACGCAAAAACUCUCAGGCAAAAGGAUCG
RNAcentral lists this non-coding RNA (69 nucleotides) under bovine gut metagenome. RNAcentral's name for it is "Glycine riboswitch". It matches the Rfam family "Glycine riboswitch aptamer", at positions 11 to 84 of the family's 94-position model. From Rfam's summary of the family: This family represents the bacterial glycine riboswitch. Glycine riboswitches usually consist of two metabolite-binding aptamers domains with similar structures in tandem. The record is from RNAcentral.